AAUCAAGUGCCUUAAGGGUGUUCGGUGGAUGCCUUGGCGCUGAGAGGCGAUGAAGGACGUGCUACGCUGCGAUAAGCCGGGGGAGCUGCGAAGAA
RNAcentral lists this ribosomal RNA (95 nucleotides) under Bradyrhizobium japonicum. RNAcentral's name for it is "partial 23S ribosomal RNA". It matches the Rfam family "Bacterial large subunit ribosomal RNA", at positions 1 to 95 of the family's 2925-position model. Lineage: Bacteria; Pseudomonadati; Pseudomonadota; Alphaproteobacteria; Hyphomicrobiales; Nitrobacteraceae. RNAcentral also lists the same sequence under 1 other name. The record is from RNAcentral.